GCGGCGUGCUUAACACAUGCAAGUCGAGCGAAGCGAUUUUGAGGAAGUUUUCGGAUGGAAUCGAAAUUGACUUAGCGGCGGACGGGUGAGUAACACGUGGGUAAUCUGCCUUAUACAGGGGGAUAACAGUUAGAAAUGACUGCUAAUACCGCAUAAGCGCACGGGGACGCAUGUUUCUGUGUGAAAAACUCCGGUAGUAUAAGAUGAGCCCGCGUCUGAUUAGCUGGUUGGUGGGGUAACGGCCUACCAAGGCGACGAUCAGUAGCCGGCCUGAGGGGGUGAACGGCCACAUUGGGACUGAGACACGGCCCAAACUCCUACGGGAGGCAGCAGUGGGGAAUAUUGCACAAUGGGGGAAACCCUGAUGCAGCGACGCCGCGUGAGUGAAGAAGUAUUUCGGUAUGUAAAGCUCUAUCAGCAGGGAAGAAAAUGACGGUACCUGACUAAGAAGCCCCGGCUAACUACGUGCCAGCAGCCGCGGUAAUACGUAGGGGGCAAGCGUUAUCCGGAUUUACUGGGUGUAAAGGGAGCGUAGACGGCGCGGCAAGUCUGAAGUGAAAGGCAGGGGCUUAACCCCUGAACUGCUUUGGAAACUGCCAUGCUAGAGUGCUGGAGAGGUAAGUGGAAUUCCUAGUGUAGCGGUGAAAUGCGUAGAUAUUAGGAGGAACACCAGUGGCGAAGGCGGCUUACUGGACAGUAACUGACGUUGAGGCUCGAAAGCGUGGGGAGCAAACAGGAUUAGAUACCCUGGUAGUCCACGCCGUAAACGGUGAAUACUAGGUGUUGGUGGGCAAAGCCCAUCGGUGCCGCCGCAAACGCAAUAAGUAUUCCACCUGGGGAGUACGUUCGCAAGAAUGAAACUCAAAGGAAUUGACGGGGACCCGCACAAGCGGUGGAGCAUGUGGUUUAAUUCGAAGCAACGCGAAGAACCUUACCAGGGCUUGACAUCCCGGCGACCGGUGUAGAGAUACACUUUCUUCUUCGGAAGCGCCGGUGACAGGUGGUGCAUGGUUGUCGUCAGCUCGUGUCGUGAGAUGUUGGGUUAAGUCCCGCAACGAGCGCAACCCUUAUUCUUAGUAGCCAGCAGGUAAAGCUGGGCACUCUGGGAAGACUGCCAGGGAUAACCUGGAGGAAGGUGGGGAUGACGUCAAAUCAUCAUGCCCCUUAUGAUUUGGGCUACACACGUGCUACAAUGGCGUAAACAAAGGGAGGCAAAGGAGUAAUCUGGAGCAAACCCCAAAAAUAACGUCUCAGUUCGGACUGUGGUCUGCAACCCGACCACACGAAGCUGGAAUCGCUAGUAAUCGCGAAUCAGAAUGUCGCGGUGAAUACGUUCCCGGGUCUUG
This 1346-nucleotide ribosomal RNA is filed under the name uncultured bacterium. RNAcentral describes it as "bacterial SSU rRNA". It matches the Rfam family "Bacterial small subunit ribosomal RNA", at positions 39 to 1383 of the family's 1533-position model. The record is from RNAcentral.